UGCGAUCACUACUGUAAGUCGCUCUGGAUAAGAGCGUCUGCUAAAAUGACUAAUA
This is a non-coding RNA of Salmo salar (Atlantic salmon), 55 nucleotides long. Lineage: Eukaryota; Metazoa; Chordata; Actinopteri; Salmoniformes; Salmonidae. The record is from Rfam.